GAUGAAGAACGUAGCGAAAUGCGAUAAGUAAUGUGAAUUGCAGAAUUCAGUGAAUCAUCGAAUCUUUGAACGCACAUUGCGCCCGCUAGUAUUCUGGCGGGCAAGCCUGUCCGAGCGUCAUUUCAACCCUCAAGCCCCCGGGCUUGGUGUUGGGGAUCGGCGAGCCUCCGCGCCCGCCGUCCCCUAAAUCUAGUGGCGGUCUCGCUGUAGCUUCCUCUGCGUAGUAGCACACCUCGCACUGGGAAACAGCGCGGCCACGCCGUUAAACCCCCAACUUCUGAACGUUUGACCUCGGAUCAGGUAGGAAUACCCGCUGAACUUAAGCAUAUCAAUAAGCGGAGGA
This 343-nucleotide unclassified non-coding RNA is filed under the name soil metagenome. RNAcentral describes it as "partial contains 5.8S ribosomal RNA, internal transcribed spacer 2, and large subunit ribosomal RNA". The stretch from base 1 to 120 matches the Rfam family "5.8S ribosomal RNA", at positions 35 to 154 of the family's 154-position model. The record is from RNAcentral.